GACGAACGCUGGCGGCGUGCCUAAUACAUGCAAGUAGAACGCUGAAGGAGGAGCUUGCUUCUCUGGAUGAGUUGCGAACGGGUGAGUAACGCGUAGGUAACCUGCCUGGUAGCGGGGGAUAACUAUUGGAAACGAUAGCUAAUACCGCAUAAGAGUAGAUGUUGCAUGACAUUUGCUUAAAAGGUGCAAUUGCAUCACUACCAGAUGGACCUGCGUUGUAUUAGCUAGUUGGUGGGGUAACGGCUCACCAAGGCGACGAUACAUAGCCGACCUGAGAGGGUGAUCGGCCACACUGGGACUGAGACACGGCCCAGACUCCUACGGGAGGCAGCAGUAGGGGAUCUUCGGCAAUGGACGGAAGUCUGACCGAGCAACGCCGCGUGAGUGAAGAAGGUUUUCGGAUCGUAAAGCUCUGUUGUAAGAGAAGAACGAGUGUGAGAGUGGAAAGUUCACACUGUGACGGUAUCUUACCAGAAAGGGACGGCUAACUACGUG
Molecule: ribosomal RNA, 495 nt
Filed under: uncultured bacterium
Lineage: Bacteria
Description: partial 16S ribosomal RNA
Rfam family: Bacterial small subunit ribosomal RNA
Source: RNAcentral